AAAAAAGAUUUUAAGAUUAAUUUUUUUGCUCCUCUCACUCUAGCAGUUGAGCUGUCUCACUCUAGCCCCAACAUUCCGUCCCAUACACACCCAUUAUAAACUCUGAAACGGGUGAAAAAACAUCAUGAAACUUAAACUGGAACUGAAGAAAAAGUAUAAUAGAUAUUGAAAAGAUAAAUACAAGUUGAAUAGUUGAAUGUCUUGUCUUCGUUUUAAAGUUUGAAUGGUGGCUCUAUGUCAAUGUAUGUGGAAGUAGUAAGAGUUUAAAAAUGAGUAAGUUGAAUGAGGAUUUGAAGGGUCUCCCCAUUGAAAUACAUUAUAAAUUUUUGUUGAAUAAAGUUGAAUAAAAUUAAAAAUAUAAAUGUUAAAAAUAUGAAAAAUAGAAGCAGUGUUGUCCAAAAGAAUAGGAAUCUAACGGUGUUUGAAUGGUUUUUCUAAGUUGAACGGUUUUGAAGGAGUAGGCUUUCAAAAAACGUACGGAAAAAUAAAAUAUAAUAAUAACUAGAAAGUGCAUUUUCUGAAGAAACUGCAGUGUGAAUGCUUGAAUCUGAAUGUAUGCACUGAAAUGAAUUAAUUGCUGAAUUUUGAGUUAAAAAUAUUGAAUGAGAUUAAAAAAAAACAAAAAAAAAACGAAUUUAACCUGAAAACAAAGGUGCUGAACUGCUAAAAGCUGAAGGUUACACAGAAGAAGGAGUUGGAAAAAAACUGAAAAUGUUUUAAAUGUAAAUUAGAAAACCCUAAGAAAUGAGAAAAGAACAUUUAGAGUCAGAAAACAUCUGAAUGAAUAUUAAAAGGUCAUAUUCUUUGAAUCACUGAAUGACUCAAAUGUGAUCCCUCCACUUGGAUCCACACAGUUUAAAAAGUUUAAAUGUCUGAGCUUUGAAAGACAAGAUGUUGGAAAGAGAACAACGAUGGCGACGUUUUGAGGGUAAAAUGAUGGCUUUAACACUGUGGACACAGCAGCAGUUGAAAGAGAAGUGUUUAAGAUGAAUCUUGGCAGAGUGGCAGGCAGAGCUCGUUAAGCAGGCAGGUGUGAGCCUGGUUGCUAUAGUGACCGCACCCAAUGGCUCCAUACACACGCACACAGACAUGCACCUCACUUUUGCUGCUUAAAAUGAACAGAAAAGUCAGGCCGAAACAAAUCGCUCCCAAAUGAAAAGUAAAAGUCGUAUUGACAAAAUUCUUUCACCGUGAGCGACAGCAAUGUCUAGUCUACCUAAUUCUCAGUUUUCAUGUCUGUGGAGUUUAUUAUAUGGACGUGGUGACAGUGGAAAGACACCAUGCUCUUCUGAUUUUCAAACGAACCUUCUG
Long non-coding RNA from Astatotilapia calliptera (eastern happy), 1311 nucleotides. Lineage: Eukaryota; Metazoa; Chordata; Actinopteri; Cichliformes; Cichlidae. The record is from Ensembl.